This is a long non-coding RNA of Pieris napi, 383 nucleotides long. RefSeq lists it as uncharacterized. Lineage: Eukaryota; Metazoa; Arthropoda; Insecta; Lepidoptera; Pieridae. The record is from RefSeq and is a predicted model, not a curated record. The transcript has 2 exons.
CCACACAUGUCGUUGUAUUCUAUCUAUAAAUUUCGGAAUUCAUAAUAGCUGCAGUCACGUGAACUCUACAUCGUUAAGACAUUACCACUAACGACUUGUAAUUACCAAGAAGAAACUACUCACCUCUGGCAGUUCAUCAGGUAUCGUUCCGUGUCAGAGGGUGACAAGGUCUGGCUAGCGAGGGCUGCACAGCGCAAGUAUUGAUUGCGAAGGGAGGCACCGUUACGACCUCUACAACGUAGUGAAAAACUCGGAAAACCCCGCGAAAAUUGAAGAUGGCGCUGGUUUGUUAGAACGAGGACAGCAUUGAAGGUAAUGGAAAUUUAGAUACAUCAACAUCAGUGAACAUAUGCUAUUUAUUAUAUGAGUAUUAAUUGAUAAAA